Molecule: transfer-messenger RNA, 325 nt
Filed under: Acetobacteraceae bacterium
Lineage: Bacteria; Pseudomonadati; Pseudomonadota; Alphaproteobacteria; Acetobacterales; Acetobacteraceae
Rfam family: Alphaproteobacteria transfer-messenger RNA
About the family: Bacterial tmRNA, also known as 10Sa RNA or SsrA, is named for its dual tRNA and mRNA-like properties. Its role is to liberate the mRNA from a stalled ribosome.
Source: RNAcentral
ACCCUUUCAAUGCAAACGCCGAGCACCUAUAAUCACAGCGUCGGCUUGCCGACUAUGGUGAUAAACGGUGCGUGGAAUAAACGUUGUGGACCCGGGGGCAGUGCCCGGCGCCUCCACCAAUAUCCUGGGUUUUCGGUUCGAAAAACAGGGGUUUGGGGGCGAAACAGUAUCGACACGCGUGGUAAAGACCCACCUUUUGCCCGGCAUGAUACCGCCGUUAUCGGGUCAACACUACAAGUGCCAAUGACAAUCAUGAAGCACUCGCUCUCGCUGCAUAAGCGUUAGCGCGGUUAGGGGGGCCCCGGGCAACAGAAUGCCCCCCACU